UAGUCCACGCCCUAAACGAUGUUGGCUCGGUAUCUGCAUUUAUGUGGGUGCCCAAGGGAAACCGAUAAGCCAACCACCUGGGGAGUACGUCGGCAACGAUGAAACUCAAAGGAAUUGACGGGGUCCGCACAAGCGGUGGAGCAUGUGGUUUAAUUCGAUGAUACGCGAGGAACCUUACCAGGGCUUAAAUGUAGAAUGACAGUUGUGGAAACACAUCCUUCUUCGGACAUUCUACAAGGUGCUGCAUGGUUGUCGUCAGCUCGUGCCGUGAGGUGUCGGGUUAAGUCCCAUAACGAGCGCAACCCCUAUCUUUAGUUGCCAGCGGAUAAUGCCGGGGACUCUAAGAAACUGCCCGUGUAAACGGAGAGGAAGUGGGGAUGACGUCAAAUCAUCACGGGCCCUUACGUCCUGGGGCUACACACGUGCUACAAUGGGCAGGGGACAGGUUAGUCGCAAACCCGCGAGGGGUGAGCUAAUCUAUAAACCUUGUCUCAGUUCGGGAUCGGGAGUCU
Molecule: ribosomal RNA, 512 nt
Filed under: uncultured bacterium
Lineage: Bacteria
Description: bacterial SSU rRNA
Rfam family: Bacterial small subunit ribosomal RNA
Source: RNAcentral